GUGAAGUCAGAGGUCGGAGAUUGUGUAUGACUGAAGUCGUUACAUGGUCUGCGGAGACAACAUUAUGACCAAAUCAGAUGUGACCUAAGCCGUUUCUGUGCCGAGGUUGAACCAUGGACACGUAAGUUAAUUACAGCAAAGCAGACGAGUUUGCAUAGAAAGCAGAGGAUACUGGGAAACUUGUGUGGAUUACAAAGUCAUAGUUUGAGGAGAACUGCAAAAGAAUAGGAGGUGACUCGCAAAGACAUUGAGGACAAAAUUGCGAAUGUUGUGGAUGAACUCAAGAGGACAUGGACUUUUACCGGUCUGUUAGCUUGGUACAAUCGUUACUAUGAGAAGCUGAACAUCCUUUGAUUUUGCUGCACAUGGAGUCCUUGAAAGUC
Stylophora pistillata is the source of this 383-nucleotide long non-coding RNA. RefSeq lists it as uncharacterized. NCBI's taxonomy places the organism in Eukaryota, Metazoa, Cnidaria, Anthozoa, Scleractinia, Pocilloporidae. The record is from RefSeq and is a predicted model, not a curated record.